Mus pahari (shrew mouse) is the source of this 977-nucleotide long non-coding RNA. RefSeq lists it as uncharacterized. NCBI's taxonomy places the organism in Eukaryota, Metazoa, Chordata, Mammalia, Rodentia, Muridae. The record is from RefSeq and is a predicted model, not a curated record. The transcript is spliced from 3 exons.
CUAUUUGCCUUUUUUUUUUUUUUUAAGGAGAGAGAAAGCUGCCAGCUUUGGAGCUCAGUGAUCUGAGAGAUAAUGAUGAAAAGCAGACAGGGGAAGCCAGGUUGUAAAAGUGUUUGUUGGGCAGGAGUAAAGGGGCCCAGGCUGUCAAGAGCAGUGGAGCUGGCCUGAGAGAAGACUGGAUGUCUCUGGAGAAGUCUCUGGAUGAUGAAGAAGCCGUGGAGCCAGGAAGUGUCUGUCGGCGGGAACUAAUCCUAGUCACACUGCUACACAAAUGUCCAGCGACUUCACAUCAGUCCUGCUGGUCUCUGCAAGCUUCCAGUUCUUGUCCCUUAGGAUUCUCUCCAUGAAGGAAAAAUGUUUGGAAGAUCUGGGAGGAAAUGGAGUGACAGUUUUCUAAGUGUCUUCUGUCCAGAGACAAAGAGCUUUCUCUUAUACCACAUGGGACAGUUGACCUGAGAACAUGGAGCAGCUAUAGAAGAAGGAGAAACUACCCUGAGAACAACUGACCAGGAGAACUGCAGUCAACCAGUUAUAAUGCCUGGAGAAUCCCAGACUGAUGAGGGAGGUCCUUCCAGUCUGAACAGAGCACAUUAAGACUCCAUGGUCCCAGAGAGGUACAGUGGGAGGCUGCCCAGCCCCCUCCCUCAGCUCCACUCCCUUUUGAAGCCUAAUCAAUAAGAAUGUCACAGAGGUGCUUUCUGAUUCAGGAAAAACCAGGGAGCCUUGCGAGGCAAGUGGAUACCCCAAUCUCCUAGUGAAUGGCAUGCUCAAAACAUCCGAUAGCUUGAGGUCCCCUUCUGGGGCUUAUUCUCAGACUGCUCGAUUUCGAACUCAUUUCCAUUUGAGGCAAAACCAUUCCACUCGUUGAUGCUAACAGGCGGGAAACCGGGCCCCUAAGUUUGCUAAAUGAAAUAUUAUUUUUCCCAUGCCUUUCCACAUCACCAGCCUUUGCUUAUUUGGUGAAAAAAAAAAAAAAA